This 490-nucleotide ribosomal RNA is filed under the name uncultured bacterium. RNAcentral describes it as "partial 16S ribosomal RNA". It matches the Rfam family "Bacterial small subunit ribosomal RNA", at positions 30 to 507 of the family's 1533-position model. The record is from RNAcentral.
AUUGAACGCUGGCGGCAGGCCUAACACAUGCAAGUCGAACGGUAACAGGAAGCAGCUUGCUGAUUCGCUGACGAGUGGCGGACGGGUGAGUAAUGUCUGGGAAGCUGCCUGAUGGAGGGGGAUAACUACUGGAAACGGUAGCUAAUACCGCAUAAUGUCGCAAGACCAAAGAGGGGGACCUUCGGGCCUCUUGCCAUCGGAUGUGCCCAGAUGGGAUUAGCUUGUUGGUGGGGUAACGGCUCACCAAGGCGACGAUCCCUAGCUGGUCUGAGAGGAUGACCAGCCACACUGGGACUGAGACACGGUCCAGACUCCUACGGGAGGCAGCAGUGGGGAAUAUUGCACAAUGGGCGCAAGCCUGAUGCAGCCAUGCCGCGUGUAUGAAGAAGGCCUUCGGGUUGUAAAGUACUUUCAGCGGGGAGGAAGGGAGUAAAGUUAAUACCUUUGCUCAUUGACGUUACCCGCAGAAGAAGCACCGGCUAACUCCGUG